AUACGUAGGGUGCAAGCGUUGUCCGGAAUUACUGGGUGUAAAGGGAGUGUAGGCGGGACUGCAAGUCAGGUGUGAAAACUAUGGGCUUAACCCAUAGAUUGCACUUGAAACUGUGGUUCUUGAGUGAAGUAGAGGUUGGCGGAAUUCCUAGUGUAGCGGUGAAAUGCGUAGAUAUUAGGAGGAACAUCAGUGGCGAAGGCGGCCAACUGGGCUUUUACUGACGCUGAGGCUCGAAAGCGUGGGUAGCAAACAGGAUUAGAUACCCUGGUAGUCCACGCUGUAAACGAUGAUUACUAGGUGUGGGGGGACUGACCCCUUCCGUGCCGCAGUUAACACAAUAAGUAAUCCACCUGGGGAGUACGACCGCAAGGUUGAA
Molecule: ribosomal RNA, 376 nt
Filed under: uncultured bacterium
Lineage: Bacteria
Description: bacterial SSU rRNA
Rfam family: Bacterial small subunit ribosomal RNA
Source: RNAcentral